This 775-nucleotide ribosomal RNA is filed under the name Harbansus paucichelatus. RNAcentral's name for it is "eukaryotic LSU rRNA". It matches the Rfam family "Eukaryotic large subunit ribosomal RNA", at positions 1288 to 1954 of the family's 3401-position model. Lineage: Eukaryota; Metazoa; Arthropoda; Ostracoda; Myodocopida; Philomedidae. The record is from RNAcentral.
ACUCACCUGCCGAAGCAACUAGCUCUGAAAAUGGAUGGCGCUUGAGCAUCACGCCUAUACCCAACCACCGAAGCAGAACUGGUCUCCAGGGCCUACAAGUUUCGGUGAGUAGGAGGGGCGCGGCAGUGUGCGCAGAAGGGAUUGGGCGUGAGCCUGCCUGGAGCCGCUGUCGGUGCAGAUCUUGGUGGUAGUAGCAAAUACUCGAGCGAUACCCUGGAGGUUUGAUGUGGAGAAGGGUUCCAUGUGAACAGCCUUUGCACAUGGGUCAGUCGAUCCUAAGCCGCAGGAGAAAUCCGGGUUUGGCGAAAUGGGCAGUCUCUUUACAAAUAAACAAAAAAUUGUGAAAUUAUGUCUGCCGAUCCUAGGCGAAAGGGAAUCCGGUACUGAUUCCGGAACCUGGUCACGGAUAACCUCUCAUUUGAGAGGGUGCUUGGGGUCCUCGUGAUCUACACCGUAAGGUGGCUAAACUCGGGGAAGUCGGCCGCUGUCCCGGGCAGAGUUGUCUGUUCUGUAUAAGGGCCCGGAUCCCUGGAAUCGCUUUGCGCGGAGAGAGGGAACUGGUUUGUUUUUGCCCGAAGAGCCCCGCAGUUCUCGCGGUGGUCCGUUGGAUGGUGGUCGAACCAUGAAAACUCGAGAGAGGGCGUACAAAUUUCGUGCCAGGCCGUACCGAUAUCCGCAGCAGGUCUCCAAGGUGAGCAGCCUCUAGUCGAUAGACACAAUGUAGGUAAGGGAAGUCGGCAAGUUAGAUCCGUAACUUCGGGAUAAGGAUUGGCUC